GGUGCGUUAGUUAAAUUGGUAUAACCACAUGCUACGGACAUGUUCUUACAAGUUCGAGUCUUGUGCGCACCU
Molecule: transfer RNA, 72 nt
Filed under: Punica granatum (pomegranate)
Lineage: Eukaryota; Viridiplantae; Streptophyta; Magnoliopsida; Myrtales; Lythraceae
Also listed under: 14 other names
Rfam family: tRNA
About the family: Transfer RNA (tRNA) molecules are approximately 80 nucleotides in length.
Source: Rfam by way of RNAcentral